This 163-nucleotide unclassified non-coding RNA is filed under the name Acinetobacter baumannii. RNAcentral's name for it is "partial 16S-23S ribosomal RNA intergenic spacer". Lineage: Bacteria; Pseudomonadati; Pseudomonadota; Gammaproteobacteria; Moraxellales; Moraxellaceae. The record is from RNAcentral.
UAGAAGAUUGGCAAAAUUGAGUCUGAAAUAAAUUGUUCACUCAAGAGUUUAGGUUAAGCAAUUAAUCUAGAUGAAUUGAGAACUAGCAAAUUAACUGAAUCAAGCGUUUUGGUAUGUGAAUUUAGAUUGAAGCUGUACGGUGCUUAAGUCACAGUGCUCUUGA